This 108-nucleotide small nuclear RNA is filed under the name Propithecus coquereli (Coquerel's sifaka). The record is from RNAcentral. Lineage: Eukaryota; Metazoa; Chordata; Mammalia; Primates; Indriidae.
GUGCUUGCUUCAGCAGCACAUAUAAUAAAAUUGGAAUGAUACGAGAAAAGAUUAGCAUGGCCCCCGCGCAAAGAUGACAUGCAAAUUUGUGAAACAUUCCAUAUNNNN